Molecule: long non-coding RNA, 1337 nt
Filed under: Zonotrichia albicollis (white-throated sparrow)
Lineage: Eukaryota; Metazoa; Chordata; Aves; Passeriformes; Passerellidae
Description: lncRNA (ENSZALG00000000731.1)
Source: RNAcentral
UCAUAUUGGUUUAUUCUGGUUUAUACUGGUUUAUACUGGUUUCUAUUAAUUUAUACUGGUUUCUAUCAAUUUAUACUGGUUUAUACUGGUUUAUAUUGGUCUAUACUGGUCUAUACUGGUUUCUAAUGCUAAAUGAGCUAGCAAUCCAAGAUGGCGGCCAAAUGACGUAAUCCAAAAUGGCCGCCAAGGAUCAGUAGCCAGGUGGGACUGGGAGCACUGGUUUAUACUGGGAGGGGACUGGGAGAGGAUCAGGACAAUCCAUACUGGUUUAUACUGGUUUAUACUGGUUUAUACUGGUUUAUAUCACUAAGAGAGCUACCAAUCCAAAAUGGCCACCAAGUGGAUUAUCCAAGAUGGCCGCCAAGGAUUGUAUAUUGGUUUAUACUGGUUUAUACUGGUUUAUAUUAAUUUAUACUGGUUUAUACUGGUCUAUACUGGUUUUUACUGGUUUAUAAUGCUAAAUGAGCUAGCAAUCCAAGAUGGCGGCCAAAUGACGUAAUCCAAAAUGGCCGCCAAGAAUCAGCAGCCAGGCGGGACUGGGUGCACUGGUUUAUACUGGGAGGGGACUGGGAGGGGAUUGGGAGGGGAUCAGGACAAUCCAUACUGGUUUAUACUGGUUUAUACUGGUUUAUAUCACUAAGAGAGCUACCAAUCCAAAAUGGCCGCCAAGUGAAUAAUCCAAGAUGGCCGCCAAGGAUUGCAUAUUGGUUUAUACUGGUUUAUACUGGUUUCUAUUAAUUUAUACUGGUUUAUACUGGUUUUUACUGGUUUCUACUGCUAAAUGAGCUAGCAAUCCAAGAUGGCGGCCAAAUGACGUAAUCCAAGAUGGCCACCAUGUGAGUUAUUCAAAAUGGCCGCCAAGGAUUGCACACUGGUUCAUACUGGUCCAUACUGGUCCAUACUGGUUUUUAUGAAUUUUUAUGGAUUUUUACUGGGUUUUUUUGGUCCAUACUGGUCCAUACUGGUUUAUACUGGUCCAUGCUGGUCCGUACUGGUUUCUAUGGAUUUUUAUGGGAUGUUUUUGGUUCCAUACUGGUUUGUACUGGUUUCUACUGGUCCAUGCUGGUCCGUACUGGUUUAUACUGGUUUGUACUGGUUUAUACUGGUUUAUACUGGUUUAUAUCACUAAGAGAGCUCCCAAUCCAAAAUGGCUGCCAAGUGGAUUAUCCAAGAUGGCCGCCAAGGAUUGCAUAUUGGUUUAUACUGGUUUCUACUGGUUUCUACUGGUCCAUACUGGUUUAUACUGGUUUAUACUGGUUUAUACUGGUCCAUACUGGUUUAUAAUGCUAAAUGAGCUAGCAAUCCAAGAUGGCGGCCAAAUGACGUAAUCCAAAAUG